UAACACGUGGGGAACCUGCCCCAUAGUCUGGGAUACCACUUGGAAACAGGUGCUAAUACCGGAUAAGAAAGCAGAUCGCAUGAUCAGCUUUUAAAAGGCGGCGUAAGCUGUCGCUAUGGGAUGGCCCCGCGGUGCAUUAGUUAGUUGGUAAGGUAAAGGCUUACCAAGGCGAUGAUGCAUAGCCGAGUUGAGAGACUGAUCGGCCACAUUGGGACUGAGACACGGCCCAAACUCCUACGGGAGCAGCAGCC
Molecule: ribosomal RNA, 251 nt
Filed under: uncultured Lactobacillus sp.
Lineage: Bacteria; Bacillati; Bacillota; Bacilli; Lactobacillales; Lactobacillaceae
Description: partial 16S ribosomal RNA
Rfam family: Bacterial small subunit ribosomal RNA
Source: RNAcentral